GGCUCAGGACGAACGCUGGCGGCGCGCCUAAUACAUGCAAGUCGAGCGAGAAGGUGUAGCAAUACACUUGUAAAGCGGCGAACGGGUGAGGAAUGCAUGGGUAACCUACCCUCGAGUGGGGAAUAACUAGCCGAAAGGUUAGCUAAUACCGCAUACGUUUCCGGAACUUCGGUUUCGGAAAGAAAGCAAUACCGUGGGUAUUGCGCUCCUGGAUGGGCUCAUGUCCUAUCAGCUUGUUGGUGAGGUAACGGCUCACCAAGGCUUCGACGGGUAGCUGGUCUGAGAGGACGAUCAGCCACACUGGCACUGCGACACGGGCCAGACUCCUACGGGAGGCAGCAGUAAGGAAUAUUGCGCAAUGGACGAAAGUCUGACGCAGCGACGCCGCGUGGGGGAUGAAGGUCUUCGGAUUGUAAACCCCUUUCGGGAGGGAAGAUGGAGUGGGUAACCACUUGGACGGUACCUCCAGAAGCAGCCACGGCUAACUUCGUGCCAGCAGCCGCGGUAAUACGAAGGUGGCAAGCGUUGUUCGGAUUCACUGGGCGUACAGGGAGCGUAGGCGGUUGGGUAAGCCCUCCGUGAAAUCUCCGGGCCUAACCCGGAAAGUGCAGAGGGGACUGCUCAGCUAGAGGAUGGGAGAGGAGCGCGGAAUUCCCGGUGUAGCGGUGAAAUGCGUAGAGA
Molecule: ribosomal RNA, 681 nt
Filed under: uncultured nitrite-oxidizing bacterium
Lineage: Bacteria
Description: bacterial SSU rRNA
Rfam family: Bacterial small subunit ribosomal RNA
Source: RNAcentral